RNAcentral lists this long non-coding RNA (1066 nucleotides) under Homo sapiens (human). RNAcentral's name for it is "PREDICTED lncRNA (TCONS_00265591)". The record is from RNAcentral. Lineage: Eukaryota; Metazoa; Chordata; Mammalia; Primates; Hominidae.
AUAUCGGGGGUGCACUGGCACAGAGGAAAGGCCAUGUGAAGCAAGAAGGCAGCCAUCUGCAAGCCAAGGAGAGAAAUUUCAGAAGGAACCAACCCUACCGACAUCUUGAUCUUGGACUUUAAGCUGCCAGACCUUUUAUACAUUUUCUACAGAAAAUGCACCCCAUCAUUGCUUAUAGCCCACCCACGUGGACUGCUCAUUCUGUGAAUCAUGUUUUACAGAAAUUGCCUUGAUGUUAGGAAUUAAAAAAACAAAACAAAACAAAAAACAUGGAGCCGUAUUCUCCAGAAGCUUACAUCUGAUUUAACGAGACAGCAAUAGGAAGCCAAAGGGUCCCUGCAGAGGAGGGUUGCAGCACGAUAACUCUACAGCUGGACAGAGACAGAUUGCAGGGGAGCAAGAAUGAAUGGCAGGCCAGCUGCCAGAAGCUUCUCACUCCGUGGAGACCUUGGAGUCGAGGAUGAAAUGUCUUACAACUGUGGGGAGACCUUGGCUUUUCCAAAGCCUACCAGGGUCCAGGACUUGGAAGCUAAGGCCCAGAGAGGAGGAGAAACUUGAUCAAAGUCAAUCAGACAAUGCAGAAUCGAGAAAAGUACCUGGACCUCUAUGCCCAUGCUUCUAGCAGCCAGCCUCCUAAAAUACCUCUAGUUGAAGCCAAAGUUAGAAUCCUUCUACGAAACUACAGGAUUAAAAUGGAAUGGUUACAUGACCCAGGCUUGACCAAUCAGAUCAUCCAAACCCUUUGCCACAGUGAUUGGUCCAGGGAUACAUGCAUGAGCCAGCUCAGUACGCAAGGCCCAAACAAUUGGUGAUAAUGAAGAAACUCUACUACCAGACGUUGCGGGAUGCCUCAAUGACCUAAUCCAGUAAAUCACAGCUCCAGCUGUCCAUGAGCUCUGUCUACCAUCUGAGGAAUUGUUUCUUUUUAAUACAAAGACUGGCACUCAUCAGAUAAUAAUUUCUGGGAUAGAAGCAAAGUAUUGGUAUUUCUUUAAGUCUCUUGAAGGUGAUUCUACUGAGCUGGGAUUAAGAACACACUGCCUUAAUCCUUUCAUCAUCAACAAAA